AUACGUAGGUGGCGAGCGUUAUCCGGAAUUACUGGGCGUAAAGCGCACGCAGGCGGUCUGUCAAGUCUGACGUGAAAGCUCCUGGCUUAACUGGGAGAGGUCGUUGGAAACUGAUGGGCUUGAGGCAAUGAGAGGGGUGUAGAAUUCCCGGUGUAGUGGUGGAAUGCGUAGAUAUCGGGAGGAAUACCAGUGGCGAAGGCGACACCCUGGCAUUGACCUGACGCUGAGGUGCGAAAGCGUGGGGAGCGAACGGGAUUAGAUACCCCGGUAGUCCACGCUGUAAACGAUGAGCACUAGGUGUAGGUGGUGUGAAAACUAUCUGUGCCGCAGUCAACGCGCUAAGUGCUCCGCCUGGGGAGUACGGCCGCAAGGCUAAA
RNAcentral lists this ribosomal RNA (377 nucleotides) under uncultured bacterium. RNAcentral's name for it is "bacterial SSU rRNA". It matches the Rfam family "Bacterial small subunit ribosomal RNA", at positions 523 to 898 of the family's 1533-position model. The record is from RNAcentral.